AACGCGAAGAACCUUACCUGGGCUCGAAAUGUAGAGUGAUUUGCAAGAGAUUGCAAAGCCCGAAAGGGACUCUAUAUAGGUGCUGCAUGGCUGUCGUCAGCUCGUGCCGUGAGGUGUUUGGUUAAGUCCAGCAACGAGCGCAACCCUUAUCGUUAGUUGCCAACGCGUAAUGGCGGGAACUCUAACGAGACUGCCUAGGUUAACUAGGAGGAAGGUGAGGAUGACGUCAAGUCCGCAUGGCCUUUAUGUCCAGGGCUACACACGUGCUACAAUGGUCGGUACAGAAGGCAGCGAAGCCGCGAGGUGGAGCAAAUCCUAUAAAACCGAUCUCAGUUCAGAUUGCAGUCUGCAACUCGGCUGCAUGAAGUUGGAAUUGCUAGUAAUGGCGUGUCAGCAACAACGCCGUGAAUACGUUCCCGGGCCUUGUA
RNAcentral lists this ribosomal RNA (428 nucleotides) under uncultured Chlamydiae bacterium. Its description in RNAcentral is "bacterial SSU rRNA". It matches the Rfam family "Bacterial small subunit ribosomal RNA", at positions 958 to 1385 of the family's 1533-position model. The record is from RNAcentral. Lineage: Bacteria; Pseudomonadati; Chlamydiota; Chlamydiia.